ACGGGGCUAAACCAUGCACCGAAGCUGCGGCAGCGACACUCAGGUGUUGUUGGGUAGGGGAGCGUUCUGUAAGCCUGCGAAGGUGGCCUGUGAGGGUUGCUGGAGGUAUCAGAAGUGCGAAUGCUGACAUAAGUAACGAUAAAGCGGGUGAAAAGCCCGCUCGCCGGAAGACCAAGGGUUCCUGUCCAACGUUAAUCGGGGCAGGGUGAGUCGACCCCUAAGGCGAGGCCGAAAGGCGUAGUCGAUGGGAAACGGGUUAAUAUUCCCGUACUUGGUGUUACUGCGAAGGGGGGACGGAGAAGGCUAUGUUGGCCGGGCGACGGUUGUCCCGGUUUAAGCGUGUAGGCUGGUUUUCCAGGCAAAUCCGGAAAAUCAAGGCUGAGGCGUGACGACGAGGCACUACGGUGCUGAAGCAACAAAUGCCCUGCUUCCAGGAAAAGCCUCUAAGCAUCAGGUAACACGAAAUCGUACCCCAAACCGACACAGGUGGUCAGGUAGAGAAUACCAAGGCGCUUGAGAGAACUCGGGUGAAGGAACUAGGCAAAAUGGUGCCGUAACUUCGGGAGAAGGCACGCUGACAUGUAGGUGAAGUGAUUUACUCAUGGAGCUGAAGUCAGUCGAAGAUACCAGCUGGCUGCAACUGUUUAUUAAAAACACAGCACUGUGCAAACACGAAAGUGGACGUAUACGGUGUGACGCCUGCCCGGUGCCGGAAGGUUAAUUGAUGGGGUCAGCGCAAGCGAAGCUCCUGAUCGAAGCCCCGGUAAACGGCGGCCGUAACUAUAACGGUCCUAAGGUAGCGAAAUUCCUUGUCGGGUAAGUUCCGACCUGCACGAAUGGCGUAAUGAUGGCCAGGCUGUCUCCACCCGAGACUCAGUGAAAUUGAACUCGCUGUGAAGAUGCAGUGUACCCGCGGCAAGACGGAAAGACCCCGUGAACCUUUACUAUAGCUUGACACUGAACAUUGAGCCUUGAUGUGUAGGAUAGGUGGGAGGCUUUGAAGUGUGGACGCCAGUCUGCAUGGAGCCGACCUUGAAAUACCACCCUUUAAUGUUUGAUGUUCUAACGUGGACCCGUGAUCCGGGUUGCGGACAGUGUCUGGUGGGUAGUUUGACUGGGGCGGUCUCCUCCUAAAGAGUAACGGAGGAGCACGAAGGUUGGCUAAUCCUGGUCGGACAUCAGGAGGUUAGUGCAAUGGCAUAAGCCAGCUUGACUGCGAGCGUGACGGCGCGAGCAGGUGCGAAAGCAGGUCAUAGUGAUCCGGUGGUUCUGAAUGGAAGGGCCAUCGCUCAACGGAUAAAAGGUACUCCGGGGAUAACAGGCUGAUACCGCCCAAGAGUUCAUAUCGACGGCGGUGUUUGGCACCUCGAUGUCGGCUCAUCACAUCCUGGGGCUGAAGUAGGUCCCAAGGGUAUGGCUGUUCGCCAUUUAAAGUGGUACGCGAGCUGGGUUUAGAACGUCGUGAGACAGUUCGGUCCCUAUCUGCCGUGGGCGCUGGAGAACUGAGGGGGGCUGCUCCUAGUACGAGAGGACCGGAGUGGACGCAUCACUGGUGUUCGGGUUGUCAUGCCAAUGGCACUGCCCGGUAGCUAAAUGCGGAAGAGAUAAGUGCUGAAAGCAUCUAAGCACGAAACUUGCCCCGAGAUGAGUUCUCCCUGAGACUUUAGGUCUCCUGAAGGAACGUUGAAGACGACGACGUUGAUAGGCCGGGUGUGUAAGCGCAGCGAUGCGUUGAGCUAACCGGUACUAAUGAACCGUGAGGCUUAACCUUACA
This 1774-nucleotide ribosomal RNA is filed under the name Salmonella enterica. RNAcentral's name for it is "partial 23S ribosomal RNA". It matches the Rfam family "Bacterial large subunit ribosomal RNA", at positions 1175 to 2925 of the family's 2925-position model. Lineage: Bacteria; Pseudomonadati; Pseudomonadota; Gammaproteobacteria; Enterobacterales; Enterobacteriaceae. The record is from RNAcentral.